UACGUAGGGAGCGAGCGUUAAUCGGAAUUACUGGGCGUAAAGCGUGCGCAGGCGGGUUUGUAAGCCAGACGUGAAAUCCCCGGGCUCAACCUGGGAAUGGCGUUUGGGACUGCAAGGCUGGAGUGUGGCAGAGGGGACUAGAAUUCCUGGUGUAGCAGUGAAAUGCGUAGAUAUCAGGAGGAAUACCGAUGGCGAAGGCAGGUACCUGGGCUAACACUGACGCUCAUGCACGAAAGCGUCGGGAGCAAACAGG
RNAcentral lists this ribosomal RNA (253 nucleotides) under uncultured bacterium. RNAcentral describes it as "partial 16S ribosomal RNA". It matches the Rfam family "Bacterial small subunit ribosomal RNA", at positions 524 to 776 of the family's 1533-position model. The record is from RNAcentral.